Molecule: transfer RNA, 62 nt
Filed under: Neisseria gonorrhoeae
Lineage: Bacteria; Pseudomonadati; Pseudomonadota; Betaproteobacteria; Neisseriales; Neisseriaceae
Description: tRNA-His
Rfam family: tRNA
About the family: Transfer RNA (tRNA) molecules are approximately 80 nucleotides in length. Their secondary structure includes four short double-helical elements and three loops (D, anti-codon, and T loops). Further hydrogen bonds mediate the characteristic L-shaped molecular structure. tRNAs have two regions of fundamental functional importance: the anti-codon, which is responsible for specific mRNA codon recognition, and the 3' end, to which the tRNAs corresponding amino acid is attached (by aminoacyl-tRNA synthetases). tRNAs cope with the degeneracy of the genetic code in two manners: having more than one tRNA (with a specific anti-codon) for a particular amino acid; and 'wobble' base-pairing, i.e. permitting non-standard base-pairing at the 3rd anti-codon position.
Source: RNAcentral
GCUCAGUUGGUAGAGCCCCGGAUUGUGAUUCCGGUUGUCGUGGGUUCGAGCCCCAUCAGCCA